AGAGUUUGAUCCUGGCUCAGAACGAACGCUGGCGGCAGGCUUAACACAUGCAAGUCGAACGCAUCCUUCGGGGUGAGUGGCAGACGGGUGAGUAACGCGUGGGAACGUGCCCUUCAGUUCGGAAUAACCCAGGGAAACUUGGGCUAAUACCGGAUACGUGCGAGAGCAGAAAGAUUUAUCGCUGAAGGAUCGGCCCGCGUCUGAUUAGCUAGUUGGUGAGGUAAUGGCUCACCAAGGCGACGAUCAGUAGCUGGUCUGAGAGGAUGAUCAGCCACAUUGGGACUGAGACACGGCCCAAACUCCUACGGGAGGCAGCAGUGGGGAAUAUUGGACAAUGGGCGCAAGCCUGAUCCAGCCAUGCCGCGUGAGUGAUGAAGGCCUUAGGGUUGUAAAGCUCUUUCGUCCGGGACGAUAAUGACGGUACCGGAAGAAGAAGCCCCGGCUAACUUCGUGCCAGCAGCCGCGGUAAUACGAAGGGGGCUAGCGUUGUUCGGAAUCACUGGGCGUAAAGGGCGCGUAGGCGGCUUGAUAAGUCGGGGGUGAAAGCCUGUGGCUCAACCACAGAAUUGCCUUCGAUACUGUCUGGCUUGAGACCGGAAGAGGUAAGUGGAACUGCGAGUGUAGAGGUGAAAUUCGUAGAUAUUCGCAAGAACACCAGUGGCGAAGGCGGCUUACUGGUCCGGUUCUGACGCUGAGGCGCGAAAGCGUGGGGAGCAAACAGGAUUAGAUACCCCUGUAGUCC
Molecule: ribosomal RNA, 742 nt
Filed under: uncultured Hyphomicrobiales bacterium
Lineage: Bacteria; Pseudomonadati; Pseudomonadota; Alphaproteobacteria; Hyphomicrobiales
Description: bacterial SSU rRNA
Rfam family: Bacterial small subunit ribosomal RNA
Source: RNAcentral